UACGGAGGAUCCGAGCGUUAUCCGGAUUUAUUGGGUUUAAAGGGUGCGUAGGCGGCCUUUUAAGUCAGCGGUGAAAGUCUGUGGCUCAACCAUAGAAUUGCCGUUGAAACUGGGGGGCUUGAGUAUGUUUGAGGCAGGCGGAAUGCGUGGUGUAGCGGUGAAAUGCAUAGAUAUCACGCAGAACCCCGAUUGCGAAGGCAGCCUGCCAAGCCAUGACUGACGCUGAUGCACGAAAGCGUGGGGAUCGAACA
Molecule: ribosomal RNA, 251 nt
Filed under: uncultured bacterium
Lineage: Bacteria
Description: partial 16S ribosomal RNA
Rfam family: Bacterial small subunit ribosomal RNA
Source: RNAcentral